This 293-nucleotide long non-coding RNA is filed under the name Olea europaea subsp. europaea. The record is from RNAcentral. Lineage: Eukaryota; Viridiplantae; Streptophyta; Magnoliopsida; Lamiales; Oleaceae.
CUUACAUUGACAAAGCAAUCAUGAAACUGCAUGCGGAGGAGAGCAGCUACAAUUGUAGGAUCCCUAGAGAACCAUGCUCUGAUAACACCACCCACAAUCGCCUCCACGUCGACCGUGCGACAUUUUCCUCGAUAGAACCCUACUUGUAAUGCACCAUUGCACGACCCAGAAAAGGCGGCGAAAAUGCAAGCUAAAGCUAAUGUAAUUGCAUAUGCUCUAGACAUUUUCUAAAAAAUGCUUAACUCUUUUCUUUCUUUUUUUGUGAAAGGUAGUGAAUAUUUUUUUUAGUGUUG